This 909-nucleotide long non-coding RNA is filed under the name Equus caballus (horse). Its description in RNAcentral is "lncRNA (ENSECAG00000059912.1)". Lineage: Eukaryota; Metazoa; Chordata; Mammalia; Perissodactyla; Equidae. The record is from RNAcentral.
GGCACUGGGCAAGAGUCAGUAGCUCUGUGGAUACGCAUGUGGUCAGCAAAGACGAGCAGAAAUGAACCCAUGCUCGGUGCGGGCUGUCCUGCUUUCCUGAGCUCAGCUGCUCGAGUGUGUUUCAAGAAGAAUAAUAGUAAAAGCUGAAUGCCUCUGCCACUGAUCGCCGUCCCCUCAUGUCCUGAUUUAGUGAGAGCCACAGAGUGAUCCUGGCCACAUCUCAGAGUGAGAAACAAAUUGCCAAAGGGGCGGAGAACAGUAUCUGCUGGUCAGAGGAUUCUCUCUCCGGGUCCUGAGCUCCAAGACCUGCAGGAACCCACUGCAGUCCGUGUCGGGCUGCAGACACUACCUGCAGCUUUUUACCUCUCCAGUCCCACAUACGCAGGAGAAUUGAUGUAUUUUCACACGGGAUGCCCCCUGACAGUUAAAAGACUGUUUGGCAAUCAAGGACACCAUACUGAUUCCAGCUGGGAACCAAGAUGAGUAAGAUGCAAUCCCUACCUCCAAGGAGGCCAAGACGGGAACAAGAACCUCUAGGUAUCAACUUCCACUUCUCUUCUCUGGAAAAUUUGAGGGCUGUCUCCAAACGGUGCUUCGAUUGCGAGUCAGAGGGAGAAGAAUGUUCAGGUCCCGUAAGCAGAAGCCCCCACAGAGUGUGUUUGCUGGUAACCAGCUUUUCUCAGGUUGUAAUGACUGAAGGUGAAUGAAGGAUUGAAGGCUUCGGGUGGAGAAUUAUCAAUCAGAUAGGGUGAAUAAACUCAAUUCCUCCAAAACACGAGCUAUUUCAAAGGUCACUGUCUUAAGAAAAAAUGUUGAUCAAUGGUCUCUUUCAGGAAAUCAACUCCGUUGAAAUAUAAUUUAUACUGCUUUUUACUUUUGUCUUCUUUCAGUGAAUUAAACUAUAGCCAC